AGACAUGAUUUAUGUUUUUGUCUUUUACGUGUGAGGAUUUCUUUCGAACUUUUUCACUUAAUGUUGAAGUCCCAUUCGAAAAAUGAAUAAAUCCUCUGAGGACGUUUGCAGCAAGGAAAAUUAACGACCAAAACGUUUUGACACACUUCCUAGCUGCACUACACGUGGGGAGAUGGUACUGCGGAGAUUUCAAACGUCAGCUCAUAAAAAAUUGUAAUUUUUUAGGCGAUAAACAUUGCUGCUUCCUGGAAAGUACUUUUCCACGUGCAUACUUAUUCUCGCGUGCCAAAAGUAUCUGUUAUGUUUAGAUGUAAAUUGUGAAACUAUUGCAAGCUGAAAUGUACUAAAAUACGUAGCUCUGUAUAGCGUUUCUAAAUUGGGAAAAUUCAAGCGGGCGACAGAAAUAACAAAAAUAGAAACAGGCCAAUAUGAUAGCUGUAUAAAGCCUGUUCAUUUUCUUUCAAUUGUCAGCCGCUCGAGGUGAUAAAAUGAGUGAAAGAAACCUGUUUAAUCAAGCCAAAUAAUUCAAAAGUUCGAAGACAUGUCGAGUGUAGGUCGCACUUGAUUGUUACGUUGUCGUUUUUACUCAAUUGACUUCGCUUGCAUGUGCUCCACGUUUUAAAACAACGUUAAGCUUUGGAUUGGGGAUGCUCCCAUAUGAAAGAAACAUAAGAUGUUAAUCUCUUGGAUUCUUUAUUGCUCCAUGUUUGUUCCAAAGUACCUACAGAAACACAUCAUGUGAAAAUGCAGUAUCUAAUUGCUUUUGAUUUUCAGACAUGGAGCAACUCAAUCCCAACAUCUUGCAAGAACUUAGGCAAGCUGAGGAAAUGGUUGUCAGAGGAGAACUCUACCCUAACAAUCAGGAAGCCCAGAAACGAGAAUUCCUGGCCCAAGCUAAAGUGGCAAUAAAGUUUGCUUUAGAGGUUCUUGAUGCCAUGGAAAGCAAACUACCACCUGACCCAAAUCCUCAACCUAGGAAAAGGAAAAAGGCCACCUGAAAGAGCAUGGUUAAUAUCAAGAGAAUUGGUCGCCUUGCUGUAAGGGCAUGUUUACUAAGUCUCAUUAUUUAGUUGUUAAGUUGAUUACUUCAGACAUAAAAGGUAUCUAACAAUUUUUUUGGAAACUUUCCAGAGAUAUUCCUUACCAAUGUCUGUUUUUUAAAAAUACAAUUAAAAGAUAGUUCACUGUGCUUGUUUAAGAGAUAUGGUGGGUAAAACAAAUUUUUUAGACUGUAUUUAUGACCAGCUAUAGGCUGUGAUUUUAUUCAUACUGUCUAUGAACUACAGCUUCACCAAAAAGUAAUGUUUUUUUUUUUCAGUCUCAUGAAGUGUAAAUUAGGUCCUAUAGCACUUUUUUGAAGUAUUUGCUGCCAUGACUUUAGAGAAUGUACUUAUGACCAGCUAUAGGCUGUGAUUUUUUGUACUAUCGAUAAACUAUGGUUUAGCUUUGAACUAAUCUUUCCUCAGUGUCAUGAACUGUAAAUUAGUUGCUACAGCCCUUUUUAGUAAUAUUUGCUGCCACGACUUUAGAGAAUGUACUUAUGACCAGCUAUAGGCUGUGAUAUUUCUGUACUAUCAGUAAACUAUGGAUUAGCUUUUAACUAAACUUUUCUCAAUGCCUUGAACUGUAAAUUAGUUGCUAUAGAAUUUUUUAGAAGUACUUGCUGCCAUGACUUUAGAAAAUGUACUUAUGACCAGCUAUAGGAUGUGAUAUUUCUGUACUUUCAAUAAACCAUGGCUUAGCUUGGAACUAA
This is a long non-coding RNA of Stylophora pistillata, 1753 nucleotides long. The record is from RefSeq and is a predicted model, not a curated record. NCBI's taxonomy places the organism in Eukaryota, Metazoa, Cnidaria, Anthozoa, Scleractinia, Pocilloporidae.